UGUGUCAUUCAUUAAAGAAAUUUCGAGUAAACAACCGGCUGAAGGUGCUACACAUAGGUUAUUAAGUGAAGAAGUAAUCAUGUGUGAAAAAACGGAUUUUGAAAAAAGAGAUGGAAUGAAAUUAAAAUAACUUCGUUCAGCUGCUGUUACAACGUAAGUAAAUGAGGCCGGGUACGAUAUACUAAAGUGGAGAGCAGCAGAGGAUAAGUAAGGAGAAGGGCAAAAGCCAUGGAUU
This is a non-coding RNA of Schizosaccharomyces pombe (fission yeast), 235 nucleotides long. NCBI's taxonomy places the organism in Eukaryota, Fungi, Ascomycota, Schizosaccharomycetes, Schizosaccharomycetales, Schizosaccharomycetaceae. The record is from the annotation of a GenBank genome assembly.